This 115-nucleotide small nucleolar RNA is filed under the name Mesocricetus auratus (golden hamster). RNAcentral's name for it is "Small nucleolar RNA SNORA24 (ENSMAUG00000002605.1)". The record is from RNAcentral. Lineage: Eukaryota; Metazoa; Chordata; Mammalia; Rodentia; Cricetidae.
AAUGUAAUUUUAAGGGGAGAGUGGCUUCCUAGCCAUAGAAAAGGGUGUUCUUGUUGGCUGGCACAGCUGCCUCCAUUUAGCUGAUACUGGAUUGGGAUUGGUACAGGGAGCAUUC